Molecule: ribosomal RNA, 59 nt
Filed under: Heyndrickxia coagulans
Lineage: Bacteria; Bacillati; Bacillota; Bacilli; Caryophanales; Bacillaceae
Description: Bacillus coagulans partial 23S ribosomal RNA
Source: RNAcentral
GGUGGAAGCGCGGCGACGCGUGGAGCUGACGGAUACUAAUCGAUCGAGGACUUAACCAC